RNAcentral lists this transfer RNA (64 nucleotides) under Idioscopus sp. 'myrica'. RNAcentral's name for it is "tRNA-Gly". Lineage: Eukaryota; Metazoa; Arthropoda; Insecta; Hemiptera; Cicadellidae. The record is from RNAcentral.
AUUCAUUUAAUAUAAAAAGUAUACUUAGCUUCCAACUAAAAAGUUUAAAAAAUUAAAAUGAAUA